RNAcentral lists this ribosomal RNA (324 nucleotides) under Firmicutes bacterium Jbg1. RNAcentral describes it as "bacterial SSU rRNA". It matches the Rfam family "Bacterial small subunit ribosomal RNA", at positions 556 to 878 of the family's 1533-position model. Lineage: Bacteria; Bacillati; Bacillota. The record is from RNAcentral.
GGGCGUAAAGGGCUCGCAGGCGGUUCCUUAAGUCUGAUGUGAAAGCCCCCGGCUCAACCGGGGAGGGUCAUUGGAAACUGGGGAACUUGAGUGCAGAAGAGGAGAGUGGAAUUCCACGUGUAGCGGUGAAAUGCGUAGAGAUGUGGAGGAACACCAGUGGCGAAGGCGACUCUCUGGUCUGUAACUGACGCUGAGGAGCGAAAGCGUGGGGAGCGAACAGGAUUAGAUACCCUGGUAGUCCACGCCGUAAACGAUGAGUGCUAAGUGUUAGGGGGUUUCCGCCCCUUAGUGCUGCAGCUAACGCAUUAAGCACUCCGCCUGGGG